RNAcentral lists this long non-coding RNA (622 nucleotides) under Homo sapiens (human). Its description in RNAcentral is "novel transcript". Lineage: Eukaryota; Metazoa; Chordata; Mammalia; Primates; Hominidae. The record is from RNAcentral.
CUCCGCACUGCUCACUCCCGCGCAGUGAGGUUGGCACAGCCACCGCUCUGUGGCUCGCUUGGUUCCCUUAGUCCCGAGCGCUCGCCCACUGCAGAUUCCUUUCCCGUGCAGACAUGGCCUCUGGCACCACCACCACCGCCGUGAAGAUUGGAAUAAUUGGUGGAACAGGCCUGGAUGAUCCAGAAAUUUUAGAAGGAAGAACUGAAAAAUAUGUGGAUACUCCAUUUGGCAAGCCAUCUGAUGCCUUAAUUUUGGGGAAGAUAAAAAAUGUUGAUUGCGUCCUCCUUGCAAGGCAUGGAAGGCAGCACACCAUCAUGCCUUCAAAGGUCAACUACCAGGCGAACAUCUGGGCUUUGAAGGAAGAGGGCUGUACACAUGUCAUAGUGACCACAGCUUGUGGCUCCUUGAGGGAGGAGAUUCAGCCCGGCGAUAUUGUCAUUAUUGAUCAGUUCAUUGACAGGACUAUUUGCCACGACAUUUCAAAGGAUUCCAAGAGAGAAUAUUGGUGUCCAUGCUGUGAUGAUUCCUCAGCUCCUCUCAUCUGAUCUCCGUCCUGGCCCCCAUGACUUUCUUUGUGGUAGUUAGGGUGUGGUAUGUGCCACUGAGGCCCACACCUAUUGCU